GACGAACGCUGGCGGCGUGCCUAAUACAUGCAAGUAGAACGCUGAAGGAGGAGCUUGCUCUUCUGGAUGAGUUGCGAACGGGUGAGUAACGCGUAGGUAACCUGCCUGGUAGCGGGGGAUAACUAUUGGAAACGAUAGCUAAUACCGCAUAACAGUAGAUGUUGCAUGACAUUUGCUUAAAAGGUGCAAUUGCACCACUACCAGAUGGACCUGCGUUGUAUUAGCUAGUUGGUGGGGUAACGGCUCACCAAGGCGACGAUACAUAGCCGACCUGAGAGGGUGAUCGGCCACACUGGGACUGAGACACGGCCCAGACUCCUACGGGAGGCAGCAGUAGGGAAUCUUCGGCAAUGGACGGAAGUCUGACCGAGCAACGCCGAGUGAGUGAAGAAGGUUGUCGGAUCGUAAAGCUCUGUUGUAAGAGAAGAACGAGUGUGAGAGUGGAAAGUUCACACUGUGACGGUAGCUUACCAGAAAGGGACGGCUAACUACGUG
RNAcentral lists this ribosomal RNA (495 nucleotides) under uncultured bacterium. RNAcentral's name for it is "partial 16S ribosomal RNA". It matches the Rfam family "Bacterial small subunit ribosomal RNA", at positions 28 to 507 of the family's 1533-position model. The record is from RNAcentral.